AUGUCCCAGCUUACAGAAGCUCCUGAGACUCUUCUAGCAUUUACUCAAAAAGCCCAAUGUUUCCAAAGGACAUUAAGUUUGAUUUCUCUGAUGAAGGCUUGUGGCUGCCCCUCAUGCUGUACAAAAUACUACCAAGUCAGAGUCGAAAAGCAAACCGUAAGUGCAUGUUACUUCAAGAACAGUUAUUUUUCAUUAUUUAGGGAAAAUGUCUCAGAUUUCUUUCAUUCAUGCCAACACGCUUACUUUGUAAGAAAUGUGGGAAAAGGGGAGGGAGAAAGAAUACUCACAUGAAAAUGCCUUUUUAUGCUGUGGAGGAUUGAGAUAUAAAGGUCAUAAGACCCCAACAUCUUUUUAAAACAGUAUUUUAUAAACAAGGUCAGCUUUGCAAGAAAAAAAAAAAAGCUUAUUUGGAACAUAAGCAAGUCCCUACACCUCACUGUUCAGGUAAAAUGUACGUAAAAUAUGAACAGACUAGCCUAUUCCAGGGUUUGAAUCCUUCAGAUCAAGACACUUUUUCUCAGAAUUUUUCAAAAUUGAAAUAUUGCUUUUCUUUAAAAGGGAAAAUAUUUAGGCUAAUGAAACCUUUAACAGAUUCAGUAGUUCUACUAAAAUAUAAAUAGGUUACCUGCUCAAGGAAAAACCAUUGGGACUUGGGAGUUACAUGGAUUUCCUUACAUUAUUAAAGAGAUCCCAGAAAACAGUAACUCUUCCAAAUAUGUGCUAGAUUUGAUUUGAUUCCUCAAGAAUAAAGUUUAUAAUUACCAUCACUAUUUGAUUAAAGAGAACCAUGACUUGAUUACAUUACAUUACAUCUUUACAAAGGUGCCUGUUUCUCAGGAAGCCAUAAUCUUAAAAUCUCUUAACACACACGUAAAUAUAUCCCUCCAUAAUACUUCUGAAACUUCAAGGCUCUUCCUUCUAGUUAGUGAAAGAGGUGCUGUGCUAGUUGUCUGUAAGCUUAGUCCAAAUUGCUUGCAUAUAUUGUAUGUAUAAGUGCCAAAACCUAAAGACAAUGUUUUUUAGUCAAAUACAACUGUUUAAAUCACCUAUCCCCUCCCUACCCACACACACCCAUCCCUUGGAAGCCAAAGGAAGAAAACUUCAGUAAAAACUGUUAUUCACAGAAAAUUACUCUUGGGUGAUUUGGAAUUAUAUUUUCCAAAAUGGAUGCAGAUUGACCCAAAAAUAAUGAUUUAUUGUUAUACUUUCCCAUGGCUUCUCUGUACUGCAACAAUUUAAUAAAGUAAUAGGACUUUCUCCUUAAAAGGAAAGGUGCUCAUUAGCGUUUGUAAUUCCAUGUUGUGUGGCACGGUAAGUGUUGUGAAAAGGUUAUGGAUCUACUCACUGUAGCAUCAAAAGUGUAAAGGUGAUAGGUGAGAUUCUCUUUGUUGCAAGUGCUGAGAAAUAAUCAUUUAAAGGUCAGUUGCACUAAAAAAAAAAAAAAAAAGGAACAUUUGUUUAAUAAGUAACUCAUUUUAGGAUAUGCUGCACUUUUAAAGGUUACAGAGUAGACCAAUUUGCCAGUGAUGUCAGCAAGAAGUACUAUUAAAGUCAUUGGUCCUAUUAAAACAAUCCUUCGUAAAAUUCAGAUUGCAUGCCUUCCCACAUAGCCCAGCACACAUCAAAAAAGUACCUAACCUGUUUAUCAUGUGGUUUCAAGGGGACGUUGCCUUGCUUUCUGUGCUUUACCUUAAAUCCUCAUCUCUCCUCUUAAAAGCAACAAAGGAGUAGUGGGUGGGAAAAUAUGUUAGAAAAAAAUAUAUAUAUAUAUAUAUUAGUACACACACACACAUACACACACAUACACUCCCCACUCCACAUCAGAUUCAUUCUAUUUUGCUUCAUUCUUUCAGUUUUAUUAAUUUCUAAGAACAUGCCUAUAAGUCUUGAAUUAUAAGAUUUCUCACUGUACCAUAUACCAAUAACUAUCUUGCUAGAAACUCUUAUAUAAAUGAAAUAA
RNAcentral lists this long non-coding RNA (1960 nucleotides) under Canis lupus familiaris (dog). Its description in RNAcentral is "lncRNA (ENSCAFG00030010752.1)". The record is from RNAcentral. Lineage: Eukaryota; Metazoa; Chordata; Mammalia; Carnivora; Canidae.